AUUGAACGCUGGCGGAAUGCUUUACACAUGCAAGUCGAGCGGCAGCGCGGGGCAACCUGGCGGCGAGCGGCGAACGGGUGAGUAAUACAUCGGAACGUACCCAGUUGUGGGGGAUAGCCCGGCGAAAGCCGGAUUAAUACCGCAUACGACCUGAGGGUAAAGGGGGGGAUCGCAAGACCUCUCGCAGUUGGAGCGGCCGAUGGCGGAUUAGCUAGUUGGUAGGGUAAAGGCCUACCAAGGCGACGAUCCGUAGCUGGUCUGAGAGGACGACCAGCCACACUGGAACUGAGACACGGUCCAGACUCCUACGGGAGGCAGCAGUGGGGAAUAUUGGACAAUGGGCGCAAGCCUGAUCCAGCCAUGCCGCGUGGGUGAAGAAGGCCUUCGGGUUGUAAAGCCCUUUUGUCCGGAAAGAAAAGCACGGGAUUAAUACCCUCGUGUGAUGACGGUACCGGAAGAAUAAGCACCGGCUAACUUCGUG
RNAcentral lists this ribosomal RNA (481 nucleotides) under uncultured bacterium. Its description in RNAcentral is "bacterial SSU rRNA". It matches the Rfam family "Bacterial small subunit ribosomal RNA", at positions 29 to 507 of the family's 1533-position model. The record is from RNAcentral.